GGGUAUAGCUCAGUGGUAGAGCGUGUGCUCAGCAUGCAUGAGGUCCCUGGGUUCAAUCCCCAGUACUGCCA
This 71-nucleotide transfer RNA is filed under the name Camelus bactrianus (Bactrian camel). It matches the Rfam family "tRNA". Rfam says of the family: Transfer RNA (tRNA) molecules are approximately 80 nucleotides in length. Their secondary structure includes four short double-helical elements and three loops (D, anti-codon, and T loops). The record is from Rfam by way of RNAcentral. RNAcentral also lists the same sequence under 1 other name. Lineage: Eukaryota; Metazoa; Chordata; Mammalia; Artiodactyla; Camelidae.